Molecule: ribosomal RNA, 564 nt
Filed under: uncultured cyanobacterium
Lineage: Bacteria; Bacillati; Cyanobacteriota
Description: bacterial SSU rRNA
Rfam family: Bacterial small subunit ribosomal RNA
Source: RNAcentral
CCUACGGGAGGCAGCAGUGGGGAAUUUUCCGCAAUGGGCGAAAGCCUGACGGAGCAACGCCGCGUGAGGGAUGAAGGCCUCUGGGCUGUAAACCUCUUUUAUCAAGGAAGAAGAUCUGACGGUACUUGAUGAAUAAGCCACGGCUAAUUCCGUGCCAGCAGCCGCGGUAAUACGGGAGUGGCAAGCGUUAUCCGGAAUUAUUGGGCGUAAAGCGUCCGCAGGCGGCCCUUCAAGUCUGCUGUUAAAAAGUGGAGCUUAACUCCAUCAUGGCAGUGGAAACUGUUGGGCUUGAGUGUGGUAGGGGCAGAGGGAAUUCCCGGUGUAGCGGUGAAAUGCGUAGAUAUCGGGAAGAACACCAGUGGCGAAGGCGCUCUGCUGGGCCAUCACUGACGCUCAUGGACGAAAGCCAGGGGAGCGAAAGGGAUUAGAUACCCCUGUAGUCCUGGCCGUAAACGAUGAACACUAGGUGUCGGGGGAAUCGACCCCUCCGGUGUCGUAGCCAACGCGUUAAGUGUUCCGCCUGGGGAGUACGCACGCAAGUGUGAAACUCAAAUGAAUUGACGG